This 467-nucleotide ribosomal RNA is filed under the name uncultured bacterium. RNAcentral describes it as "partial 16S ribosomal RNA". It matches the Rfam family "Bacterial small subunit ribosomal RNA", at positions 28 to 506 of the family's 1533-position model. The record is from RNAcentral.
GACGAACGCUGGCGGCGUGCUUAACACAUGCAAGUCGAACGGAAAGGCCCUACUUUUGUGGGGUGCUCGAGUGGCGAACGGGUGAGUAACACGUGAGUAACCUGCCCUUGACUUUGGGAUAACUUCAGGAAACUGGGGCUAAUACCGGAUAGGAGCUCCUGCUGCAUGGUGGGGGUUGGAAAGUUUCGGCGGUUGGGGAUGGACUCGCGGCUUAUCAGCUUGUUGGUGGGGUAGUGGCUUACCAAGGCUUUGACGGGUAGCCGGCCUGAGAGGGUGACCGGCCACAUUGGGACUGAGAUACGGCCCAGACUCCUACGGGAGGCAGCAGUGGGGAAUAUUGCACAAUGGGCGGAAGCCUGAUGCAGCAACGCCGCGUGCGGGAUGACGGCCUUCGGGUUGUAAACCGCUUUCGCCUGUGACGAAGCGUGAGUGACGGUAAUGGGCAAAGAAGCACCGGCUAACUACGU